RNAcentral lists this ribosomal RNA (117 nucleotides) under Schizosaccharomyces octosporus yFS286. Lineage: Eukaryota; Fungi; Ascomycota; Schizosaccharomycetes; Schizosaccharomycetales; Schizosaccharomycetaceae. The record is from RNAcentral.
ACGGCCACACCUAGGCGAAAACACCAGUUCCCGUCCGAUCACUGCAGUUAAGCGUCUGAGGGUCUCGUUAGUACUAUGGUUGGAGACAACAUGGGAAUCCGGGAUGCUGUUAGGCUU